AACGAACGCUGGCGGCAGGCCUAACACAUGCAAGUCGAGCGCCCUUUCGGGGUUUCGGUGGUCGGGUGAGUAACGCGUGGGAAUAUGCCCUUCUCUACGGAAUAGCUUCGGGACACUGAGAGUAAUACCGUAUACGCCCUACUGGGGAAAGUUUUAUCGGGGAAGGAUUGGUCGGGGCGGGAUUGGGUAAUUGGUGGGGUGAUGGCCUACCAGGCCGACGAUCCUUAGCGGGUUUGAGAGGAUGAUCAGCCACACUGGGACUGAGACACGGCCCAGGCUCCGACGGGAGGCAGCAGUGGGGAAUCUUAGACAAUGGGGGCAACCCUGAUCAAGCCGUGCCGCGUGAGUGAUGAAGGCCUUAGGGUUGUAAAGCUCUUUCAGCUGGGAAGAUAAUGACGGUACCAGCAGAAGAAGCCCCGGCUAACUCCGUG
Molecule: ribosomal RNA, 431 nt
Filed under: uncultured bacterium
Lineage: Bacteria
Description: partial 16S ribosomal RNA
Rfam family: Bacterial small subunit ribosomal RNA
Source: RNAcentral